RNAcentral lists this ribosomal RNA (897 nucleotides) under uncultured bacterium. RNAcentral's name for it is "bacterial SSU rRNA". It matches the Rfam family "Bacterial small subunit ribosomal RNA", at positions 65 to 960 of the family's 1533-position model. The record is from RNAcentral.
AGGGGUAACAUAGAGAAGCUUGCUUUUCUGAUGACGACCGGCGCACGGGUGCGUAACGCGUAUGCAACCUACCUCUUACUGGGGUAUAGCCCGGAGAAAUCCGGAUUAAUCCCCCAUAGUAUUGUACUUUCGCAUGUUAGUACAAUUAAAGGUUACGGUAAGAGAUGGGCAUGCGUCCCAUUAGCUAGAUGGUAAGGUAACGGCUUACCAUGGCAACGAUAGGUAGGGGCCCUGAGAGGGGGAUCCCCCACACUGGUACUGAGACACGGACCAGACUCCUACGGGAGGCAGCAGUGAGGAAUAUUGGACAAUGGAGGCAACUCUGAUCCAGCCAUGCCGCGUGCAGGAAGACUGCCCUAUGGGUUGUAAACUGCUUUUAUACAGGAAGAAACAUCUCUACGUGUAGAGACUUGACGGUACUGUAAGAAUAAGGAUCGGCUAACUCCGUGCCAGCAGCCGCGGUAAUACGGAGGAUCCAAGCGUUAUCCGGAAUCAUUGGGUUUAAAGGGUCCGUAGGUGGAUAAUUAAGUCAGAGGUGAAAGUUUGCGGCUCAACCGUAAAAUUGCCUUUGAUACUGGUUAUCUUGAAUUAUUAUGAAGUAGUUAGAAUAUGUAGUGUAGCGGUGAAAUGCAUAGAUAUUACAUAGAAUACCAAUUGCGAAGGCAGAUUACUAAUAAUCAAUUGACACUGAUGGACGAAAGCGUAGGUAGCGAACGGGAUUAGAUACCCCGGUAGUCUACGCCGUAAACGAUGGAUACUAGCUGUUGGACUUCGGUUCAGUGGCUAAGCGAAAGUGAUAAGUAUCCCACCUGGGGAGUACGUUCGCAAGAAUGAAACUCAAAGGAAUUGACGGGGGCCCGCACAAGCGGUGGAGCAUGUGGUUUAAUUCGAUGAUAC